RNAcentral lists this unclassified non-coding RNA (350 nucleotides) under Hevea brasiliensis (rubber tree). Lineage: Eukaryota; Viridiplantae; Streptophyta; Magnoliopsida; Malpighiales; Euphorbiaceae. The record is from RNAcentral.
AAUACUUGAAAGCUCCGAUUCAACCUUCUGUCUAUACCCUUUGAUCCGCUUCACAUUUUGGUCAUUUCCCUUAGCUUCCACCUUUUGUUCAAUCGAUGAUAAGAUCCUCCAUGACGCUCUACGCGCACUUAUCACGUUCUUGUACCCCACAGAGAGUAGGUUUCUUUCCUCUACUGUCAAUUCUACAUCGAGUUUAGCUACUUUCUUCAUGGUAUCCACCAUUUCGUCAUAGCGUUCGGCUUGCUCAGCGAGCUUGGCGAUGAAGACAAGGUUCUCUCGUUCAUUGGAGGAAGCCAUUGAUUAUUGGUAGAUUCACUCAGUUUCUCGCUCUAACACUUUCUCUAUCUAGA